Long non-coding RNA from Solenopsis invicta (red fire ant), 1393 nucleotides. RefSeq lists it as uncharacterized. The record is from RefSeq and is a predicted model, not a curated record. NCBI's taxonomy places the organism in Eukaryota, Metazoa, Arthropoda, Insecta, Hymenoptera, Formicidae. The transcript is spliced from 4 exons.
UCCAACACAGAAGAUGUGUUAUUUAUUAAUUAAAACUUACUUUUUUGCUAACUAAAUAUAUAUGUUUUUUCUAGGUGAAUGAAUUUGGCGUCAACAAUGUGCAAGAUGGCCAAAUGGACUUAAUAUAGUUAUUGUUAUAGAAGAGACCAAACUCGAAUAUAUUAGAGGCUCGUGUGUCAAAUAAAAAUAACUGGAGCCAUUCGUAAGCACUACAGGUCGAAUGCAUUCUUGGAAGACUUUUAUGAUAUACUGAAACUACUGAUUUCCAUAUUUAAUGAACAAGGACUUGAACUAUAGAUCAGCAGCUUGCCUAAUGUAGAUAUCGAGGAUCUUAAAGCAAAUAUUGAGCAUCAUAAAUACACUGCUACGUCUUUAUAGAUUCAAUAGUUCUGGCGUGCAUUACGAGGUUUUGAUCAAGCGGAUCAUGCGAAGUUCUUACAAUUCGUUCCUGGUACGUUCAAAGUGCCGUUACAAGGUUUCGCUGCGUUGGAAGGCACGGACGGUGUACAAAAGUUCCAAAUUCACAGAGAAGAUAGGUCAACAGACAGGCUUCCAUCUGCACAUACUUGUUUCAGUCAACUGGAUCUGCCAGUGUAUGGGGCGUAUGAUAAACUCCAUACAAAUCUACUCGAGGCGAUUCAUGAAUGCAGCGAAGGAUUUGGAUUUGCAUAAGCUUGUUGGAGCGCUAUUGUGUAGCAGUUUUUCAUACAUGUGUUGUCCAGCCUAUUCGAAGUAAACAGUUACAAGAAUGUCAUUCAAUCGAUGACAUUCUAAUGACACGCUUGGUCUUCGUUCAAGAUCCAUUGAAAAAUUUGUUUAACUUGAUAUAUACACGGAAAAAACAAACAUGAUUGAAUUAACAAGCUAUAUUUAGUUAUACAAAUUUUGGUAGGUGUUUCAUUGAAAGCUUAUACGGUUUAUACAAACAAAGUGAUGCAUAAAAAAUGAAUAAGAAGACGUCGGACUUAUUUCGUGAAUGGGGAUUUAAAGAAUAUAUUGAAAUCUUCAAAGGUUCGUUUAGUUUAAUAUAUUUACGAAAAUUCGGUUUCUGAUGCAUGCUAUUCAUUUAGUAUGUUGUAUGUUAAUGGUUGUGUUGUGAUAUAAUUUACAUUAUGUAUAUUCCUAGAUAGCACGAUAUCUUUGACAGAUUUGUGUUUUUGGGGUUAUGUAACCUUAAAAAUCAUUAUUAUAGACAUAUGAAAUUUUCGUACUCGUAGUAUACAUCCAAACACAGCCCAUGUCUUACACAGCCAUGUACUAAAAGCGUGUUCCACUUAAAGCUCGCAACGCUUCCAAGCACUAUUUGUCUGUUUAAGAUUUGAUAAACUACAAGGAUGAAAUGAUACGUUGCGAAUGUUAAGUGGAAUACGCCCUAAGCAAUCUAGUUUUGCAU